RNAcentral lists this small nuclear RNA (124 nucleotides) under Panthera tigris altaica (Amur tiger). Its description in RNAcentral is "U4 spliceosomal RNA (ENSPTIG00000005120.1)". It matches the Rfam family "U4 spliceosomal RNA". From Rfam's summary of the family: U4 small nuclear RNA (U4 snRNA) is a component of the major U2-dependent spliceosome. The structure of U4 snRNA from yeast and human has been reported. U4 snRNA presents a k-turn RNA motif in the 5p-SL related to recognition of Snu13 protein. The record is from RNAcentral. Lineage: Eukaryota; Metazoa; Chordata; Mammalia; Carnivora; Felidae.
AGCUUUGUGCAGGGGCAGCAUUGUAGCCAAGGUUUAUCCGGGACACGAUUAUUGCUAAUUGAAGACUUUCCCCGGGGCACCAGGCUGGCUCGGGUCAGUGGAACAUCCGACUCUUGACCUCAGG